CGAGGCCGAAAGGCGUAGUCGAUGGGAAACGGGUUAAUAUUCCCGUACUUGGUGUUACUGCGAAGGGGGGACGGAGAAGGCUAUGUUGGCCGGGCGACGGUUGUCCCGGUUUAAGCGUGUAGGCUGGUUUUCCAGGCAAAUCCGGAAAAUCAAGGCUGAGGCGUGAUGACGAGGCACUACGGUGCUGAAGCAACAAAUGCCCUGCUUCCAGGAAAAGCCUCUAAGCAUCAGGUAACAUCAAAUCGUACCCCAAACCGACACAGGUGGUCAGGUAGAGAAUACCAAGGCGCUUGAGAGAACUCGGGUGAAGGAACUAGGCAAAAUGGUGCCGUAACUUCGGGAGAAGGCACGCUGACACGUAGGUGAAGUGAUUUACUCACGGAGCUGAAGUCAGUCGAAGAUACCAGCUGGCUGCAACUGUUUAUUAAAAACACAGCACUGUGCAAACACGAAAGUGGACGUAUACGGUGUGACGCCUGCCCGGUGCCGGAAGGUUAAUUGAUGGGGUCAGCGCAAGCGAAGCUCCUGAUCGAAGCCCCGGUAAACGGCGGCCGUAACUAUAACGGUCCUAAGGUAGCGAAAUUCCUUGUCGGGUAAGUUCCGACCUGCACGAAUGGCGUAAUGAUGGCCAGGCUGUCUCCACCCGAGACUCAGUGAAAUUGAACUCGCUGUGAAGAUGCAGUGUACCCGCGGCAAGACGGAAAGACCCCGUGAACCUUUACUAUAGCUUGACACUGAACAUUGAGCCUUGAUGUGUAGGAUAGGUGGGAGGCUUUGAAGUGUGGACGCCAGUCUGCAUGGAGCCGACCUUGAAAUACCACCCUUUAAUGUUUGAUGUUCUAACGUGGACCCGUUACCCGGGUUGCGGACAGUGUCUGGUGGGUAGUUUGACUGGGGCGGUCUCCUCCUAAAGAGUAACGGAGGAGCACGAAGGUUGGCUAAUCCUGGUCGGACAUCAGGAGGUUAGUGCAAUGGCAUAAGCCAGCUUGACUGCGAGCGUGACGGCGCGAGCAGGUGCGAAAGCAGGUCAUAGUGAUCCGGUGGUUCUGAAUGGAAGGGCCAUCGCUCAACGGAUAAAAGGUACUCCGGGGAUAACAGGCUGAUACCGCCCAAGAGUUCAUAUCGACGGCGGUGUUUGGCACCUCGAUGUCGGCUCAUCACAUCCUGGGGCUGAAGUAGGUCCCAAGGGUAUGGCUGUUCGCCAUUUAAAGUGGUACGCGAGCUGGGUUUAGAACGUCGUGAGACAGUUCGGUCCCUAUCUGCCGUGGGCGCUGGAGAACUGAGGGGGGCUGCUCCUAGUACGAGAGGACCGGAGUGGACGCAUCACUGGUGUUCGGGUUGUCAUGCCAAUGGCACUGCCCGGUAGCUAAAUGCGGAAGAGAUAAGUGCUGAAAGCAUCUAAGCACGAAACUUGCCCCGAG
Molecule: ribosomal RNA, 1421 nt
Filed under: Salmonella enterica subsp. enterica serovar Enteritidis
Lineage: Bacteria; Pseudomonadati; Pseudomonadota; Gammaproteobacteria; Enterobacterales; Enterobacteriaceae
Description: partial 23S ribosomal RNA
Rfam family: Bacterial large subunit ribosomal RNA
Source: RNAcentral